GACGAACGCUGGCGGCGUGCUUAACACAUGCAAGUCGAACGGAGCGAAUGAAAGCUUGCUUUUAUGAGCUUAGUGGCAAACGGGUGAGUAACACGUAGACAACCUGCCGAUAGGAUGGGGACAACAUUCCGAAAGGAAUGCUAAUACCGAAUGGCGUGUAGGGGAGGCAUCUCCCGUACAUGAAAGAUGGCCUCUGAAUAUGCUAUCACCUAUCGACGGGUCUGCGUCUGAUUAGCUAGUAGGUAAGGUAACGGCUUACCUAGGCGACGAUCAGUAGCCGGUCUGAGAGGAUGAACGGCCACAUUGGGACUGAGACACGGCCCAGACUCCUACGGGAGGCAGCAGUGGGGAAUCUUCCGCAAUGGGCGCAAGCCUGACGGAGCAACGCCGCGUGAGUGAAGAAGGUCUUCGGAUCGUAAAGCUCUGUUGAAGGGGACGAACGUACAUAGUGCGAAUAGUGCUGUGUAAUGACGGUACCUUUG
RNAcentral lists this ribosomal RNA (482 nucleotides) under Selenomonas sp. oral taxon E83. RNAcentral's name for it is "bacterial SSU rRNA". It matches the Rfam family "Bacterial small subunit ribosomal RNA", at positions 28 to 483 of the family's 1533-position model. Lineage: Bacteria; Bacillati; Bacillota; Negativicutes; Selenomonadales; Selenomonadaceae. The record is from RNAcentral.